RNAcentral lists this ribosomal RNA (253 nucleotides) under uncultured bacterium. RNAcentral's name for it is "partial 16S ribosomal RNA". It matches the Rfam family "Bacterial small subunit ribosomal RNA", at positions 524 to 776 of the family's 1533-position model. The record is from RNAcentral.
UACGGGGGGGGCAAGCGUUGUUCGGAAUUACUGGGCGUAAAGGGCUCGUAGGCGGCCAACUAAGUCGGACGUGAAAUCCCCAGGCUCAACCUGGGAACUGCGUCCGAUACUGGAUGGCUUGAAUUCAGGAGAGGGAUGCAGAAUUCCAGGUGUAGCGGUGAAAUGCGUAGAUAUCUGGAGGAAUACCGGUGGCGAAGGCGGCAUCCUGGACCGACAUUGACGCUGAGGAGCGAAAGCUAGGGGAGCAAACGGG